CCUACGGGGGGCAGCAGUGGGGAAUAUUGGGCAAUGGGCGCAAGCCUGACCCAGCAACGCCGCGUGAAGGAAGAAGGCUUUCGGGUUGUAAACCUCUUUUAAGGGGGAAGAGCAGAAGACGGUACCCCUUGAAUAAGCCACGGCUAACGACGUGACAGCCGCCGAGGUAAUACGUAGGUGGCAAGCGUUGUCCGGAUUUACUGGGUGUAAAGGGCGUGCAGCCGGCGAGACAAGUCAGAUGUGAAAGCCACGGGCUCAACCCGUGUACUGCUUUUGAAACUGUUUCCCUUGAGUGUCGGAGAGGUAAGCGGAAUUCCUUGUGUAGCGGUGAAAUGCGUAGAUAUAAGGAAGAACACCAGUGGCGAAGGCGGAUUACUGGACGAUAACUGACGGUGAGGCGCGAAAGCGUGGGGAGCAAACAGGAUUAGAUACCCUUGUAGUC
RNAcentral lists this ribosomal RNA (442 nucleotides) under uncultured bacterium. RNAcentral describes it as "partial 16S ribosomal RNA". It matches the Rfam family "Bacterial small subunit ribosomal RNA", at positions 338 to 795 of the family's 1533-position model. The record is from RNAcentral.